CGGGACACGUGGUAUCCUGUCUGAAUAUGGGGGGACCAUCCUCCAAGGCUAAAUACUCCUGACUGACCGAUAGUGAACCAGUACCGUGAGGGAAAGGCGAAAAGAACCCCGGCGAGGGGAGUGAAAAAGAACCUGAAACCGUGUACGUACAAGCAGUGGGAGCCUCUUAAUGGGGUGACUGCGUACCUUUUGUAUAAUGGGUCAGCGACUUAUAUUCUGUAGCAAGGUUAACCGAAUAGGGGAGCCGAAGGGAAACCGAGUCUUAACUGGGCGUUAAGUUGCAGGGUAUAGACCCGAAACCCGGUGAUCUAGCCAUGGGCAGGUUGAAGGUUGGGUAACACUAACUGGAGGACCGAACCGACUAAUGUUGAAAAAUUAGCGGAUGACUUGUGGCUGGGGGUGAAAGGCCAAUCAAACCGGGAGAUAGCUGGUUCUCCCCGAAAGCUAUUUAGGUAGCGCCUCGUGAAUUCAUCUCCGGGGGUAGAGCACUGUUUCGGCAAGGGGGUCAUCCCGACUUACCAACCCGAUGCAAACUGCGAAUACCGGAGAAUGUUAUCACGGGAGACACACGGCGGGUGCUAACGUCCGUCGUGAAGAGGGAAACAACCCAGACCGCCAGCUAAGGUCCCAAAGUCAUGGUUAAGUGGGAAACGAUGUGGGAAGGCCCAGACAGCCAGGAUGUUGGCUUAGAAGCAGCCAUCAUUUAAAGAAAGCGUAAUAGCUCACUGGUCGAGUCGGCCUGCGCGGAAGAUGUAACGGGGCUAAACCAUGCACCGAAGCUGCGGCAGCGACGUUUAUGCGUUGUUGGGUAGGGGAGCGUUC
This 822-nucleotide ribosomal RNA is filed under the name Escherichia coli. Its description in RNAcentral is "partial 23S ribosomal RNA". It matches the Rfam family "Bacterial large subunit ribosomal RNA", at positions 418 to 1241 of the family's 2925-position model. Lineage: Bacteria; Pseudomonadati; Pseudomonadota; Gammaproteobacteria; Enterobacterales; Enterobacteriaceae. The record is from RNAcentral.